This 251-nucleotide ribosomal RNA is filed under the name uncultured bacterium. RNAcentral describes it as "partial 16S ribosomal RNA". It matches the Rfam family "Bacterial small subunit ribosomal RNA", at positions 524 to 776 of the family's 1533-position model. The record is from RNAcentral.
UACGUAGGUCCCGAGCGUUGUCCGGAUUUAUUGGGCGUAAAGCGAGCGCAGGUGGUUUAUUAAGUCUGUGUAAAAGGCAGUGGCUCAACCAUUGUAUGCAUUGGAAACUGGUAGACUUGAGUGCAGGAGAGGAGAGUGGAAUUCCAUGUGUAGCGGUGAAAUGCGUAGAUAUAUGGAGGAACACCGGUGGCGAAAGCGGCUCUCUGGCCUGUAACUGACACUGAGGCUCGAAAGCGUGGGGAGCAAACAGG